AGUAACGGCGAGUGAAGCGGUAACAGCUCAAAUUUGAAAUCUGGCACCGUGUCGGGGCCCGAGUUGUAAUUUGUAGAAGAUGCUUUGGGUUGUCGGACCGGCCUAAGUUCCUUGGAACAGGACGUCGUAGAGGGUGAGAGUCCCGUCUGUGGCCGGGGCCUGGCGCCUGGGUAAAGCUCUUUCGACGAGUCGAGUUGUUUGGGAAUGCAGCUCCAAAUGGGUGGUAAAUUUCAUCUAAAGCUAAAUAUGGGCCAGAGACCGAUAGCGCACAAGUAGAGUGAUCGAAAGAUGAAAAGCACUUUGGAAAGAGAGUUAAACAGUACGUGAAAUUGUUGAAAGGGAAGCGCUUGCCGCCAGACUUGGGCCAGUUCGAUCAUGCGGCGCGCACGUCGAGCAGCAGCACUCGAGCUGGCACAGGCCAGCAUCGGUUCAGGCGGCUGGAGAAGGACGGUAGGAAGGUAGCUGCCUCUCACGGGGGAGUGUUAUAGCCUACGGUGGCAUGCAGCCCGCUGGGACCGAGGAACGCGCACUCCUUUUUAAUUAGGGGAGGGCUAGGAUGCUGGCGUAAUGGUGGUAAGCGACCCGUCUUGAAACACGGACCAAGGAGUCUAACAUCUAUGCGAGUGUUUGGGUGGGCAAAACCCAUACGCGGAAUGAAAGUGAACGUAGGUGAGAGCCCUCCUGUGGCCGGGGGGGUGCAUCAUCGACCGAUCCUGAAGUCUUCGGAUGGAUUUGAGUAAGAGCAUAGC
RNAcentral lists this ribosomal RNA (749 nucleotides) under Erysiphe actinidiae. RNAcentral's name for it is "eukaryotic LSU rRNA". It matches the Rfam family "Eukaryotic large subunit ribosomal RNA", at positions 82 to 806 of the family's 3401-position model. Lineage: Eukaryota; Fungi; Ascomycota; Leotiomycetes; Helotiales; Erysiphaceae. The record is from RNAcentral.